UCAUCGACUUGCGCAGCGUGGCGGCGCGCUCGUCCUUGGAGAGCGGCUUCGGGACGACGAGGCUGCGCUCGUUCAGGUGGCGGGUGCCGAUGAG
Molecule: transfer RNA, 94 nt
Filed under: Streptomyces badius
Lineage: Bacteria; Bacillati; Actinomycetota; Actinomycetes; Kitasatosporales; Streptomycetaceae
Description: tRNA-Arg
Source: RNAcentral